GCUAGGCAUGGUGGCACAUGCCUGUAAUCCCAGCUACUAGGGAGGCUGAGGCAGGAGGAUCACUUGAGCCCAGGAGGUCUAGGCUGAAGUGAGCUAUGAUUGCACCACUGCACUCCAGCCUGGGUGACAGAGUGAGACCCUGUCUCAA
This is a non-coding RNA of Homo sapiens (human), 148 nucleotides long. It matches the Rfam family "Metazoan signal recognition particle RNA". Rfam says of the family: The signal recognition particle (SRP) is a universally conserved ribonucleoprotein. It is involved in the co-translational targeting of proteins to membranes. Lineage: Eukaryota; Metazoa; Chordata; Mammalia; Primates; Hominidae. The record is from Rfam.